Molecule: transfer RNA, 87 nt
Filed under: Hyphomicrobium sp.
Lineage: Bacteria; Pseudomonadati; Pseudomonadota; Alphaproteobacteria; Hyphomicrobiales; Hyphomicrobiaceae
Description: tRNA-Leu
Rfam family: tRNA
About the family: Transfer RNA (tRNA) molecules are approximately 80 nucleotides in length. Their secondary structure includes four short double-helical elements and three loops (D, anti-codon, and T loops).
Source: RNAcentral
GCGGUUGUGGCGGAACUGGUAGACGCACUACCUUGAGGUGGUAGCGCUGGAAACGGCGUGGAGGUUCGAGUCCUCUCAACCGCACCA